Molecule: small nucleolar RNA, 138 nt
Organism: Mastomys coucha (southern multimammate mouse)
Lineage: Eukaryota; Metazoa; Chordata; Mammalia; Rodentia; Muridae
Product: small nucleolar RNA SNORA17
Exons: 1
Source: RefSeq, a predicted model, not a curated record
CCUUCCCUUAGAGGUGUUGCAGGUGUGGAUGCUGUGUCACAUGUGCAUCAGUAGGUGGCAAAAAGGAGAGAGGCUAUGUCUAUGCUCAGUGUUAUGAAUUAUGAAUAUGAAUAUCUGAAUGAUUAGUAACCUAAUAGU